UCCACCUUCAUAAAAGGCAUCACAGACCUGCUGGUUCACAGACUAACACAGCACAGAGAAGGAAGGUGCAAACACAAACCGAAGAUGAAAACGUUAUUCAAAAGGAUAAGUACGAGGAAACAGAACAAGCAAGAUGGACACAACCAGGCAGCUAAUGGGUACAACCCCACAGAUCAGAACACCUUCACCUCCAAGGUAGAACAGAUGAGUGUGGAGGAGUUCCCACUGCAGAAUCUGGCUGAACUUCUGGGUGUGACCGCUGAUGUCAGCCCCUCUGAGGAUGGAUCAUGCUCAGUGGAAUCUGAGUCUGAUUCAGCUCAGCAGAGGCAGAGAAAUGUUCGCCUCAUACAAGCAUCAGUGUCCCAGCACCUCCCAAAACCACCGUCGGAUCUGGACCAGAACCUUCAGCAGCACCUGGUCAAUGUGCAGAAGACUGUGCGCAAUGAGCUCAUGAGGCUGAGUCCCAGGCUGGAGAAAAUGGGUUUGAUUGGAUGUCUGAUUGAUUGCUACUAUCGUCAGACACUUGAUCACAUCAGUGAUCUAUUCAAUAAAGUCCAGUCCUGCAAGAAAUCCUUUGAGCUGAUGAAGUGGAUCCUGCAUCCUUAUCUGAGUCAGGAGCUGCUGAGUCAUCCUGACCUUGGUGACUUCCCGCUGUCGACAGAAUUGGUGGCAAAAGCAGAGAACCUACUGCUUGAAAAUGUGCCGGAAGAGGUCAGAAAAUGUCUGGAUGAAAUCCUGCUGAUUCACAUAAACCAAGAUGUCUGUGACAGUGAGGAAUCUUGCAUUGGACUUUACGUGGACAUUAUUCAGGUAGUCAAUGACAUGCCUGAAAAAGCUCAGCAAAUCAACCCAAAACUGUCUCAUGAUAUCCGAGAAGCUUGUUUCCAAGAGCUGAAGAUAUUUCUGGGGAGGUUCACCUCUGAGCAGACUAAGUUUCUCAGAGAAAAAGCCAAAAAGGCCAUACCAAACAAGAUACACUUCUUCAAGAUUCUGAAAACUUGUAAAGAAAUUAAGGAGUACGUCCAGACUAAAAGUGAAGGUAUUGAAGAUUCCCUUGUCAAGGAAAUUGAGACAACGCUUGAAAACAUGGAGGAUGUUACUUUGAAACUUCUGAUGGAAAUUGUUGCUGAAAUGGCAGAGAGGCACCUUCAGAAUUACUUUACAACCAAGCACAAGAGAUUCUUCUUGAUCCCUGAUGUACAGACGCAUUUCCCUGAGGUGUCGUGGUGUCCAGACGUGAAAAAGAGAGUGAUGGACGAGGCCUACAAGCUCAUCGCUCACACUUACCUCAAACAUCUUGUCCGAAGCAGCCAGAAGAAACUGAGAAAGUGCUGGAGUCCUGAUGUUGUACAAAAAGUCAUUGAAGAUGCGGAGCUUCUUCACGACACCAUCUCAGAACUGGCCCCUGGUGUUGAACAGUGGAAGCUCCCAGAGCUGCUGGAGGAUGAAAACAUCGACGCAGUGAAGAUCACAGUUGCGAGCAUGCAGCAUUCCUGCUACAAAGAGGAUGAGGAGCUCCUUUCCACACUGCUGGUAUGGAAGGGUCUCUCUAAAUCGCAGGCUCGGCAGGUGCUAGGUGCCCUUCCUGAACAUAAACCCAGACAGACUAACUUUUUAUCAGAGUGCCGCUGUUUAUGAUGAGCUUCUCCACAGAGGAUCAACAGCAACAAGCAGAGAAGAGGACAGAGCUGAUUUUCCAAAAUGUUCGCCCACUCAGUUUCUGCUUUCACUUUCUAAUCUAAAGAUAAAGAUAUGGUUUUAUAAGCUAUGAUUCAAAUUAUUAACAGGAUUUUAAUUUAAUUAAUUCUCAUUUCUUUAAUGCAAAAAAAUAGCUUUUUCUUUUACACGUUAAGGAUGCUUAUCUGUGCUUUGGUAGGUGAUGGUUUAUUUUGUUACUUCAGCUUUACAACAAGUUCCUUGAAGUACAUUUAACAAAACUCUUCUGAAUUAUACUUUGACUACAGAAUCUGUUCAGAACUUUAAACUUUAAAACUAUAGAGAAUCUAUAGUUUUAACCCUGGAGAUGUCACAAGAUUGAGAGGUGUUGUACAGCCUAAUGGAGACCCUAUUUUCUGUUAUCUAAUAGUUUUAUUUUUAUAUCAUGAUACCAACGUGUAUUGAUAGCUUUCUCUCUUUUUUAUUCCAUUUUAUAUUGUUUUUAUUAAAGUGCUUUCUCUCUUGUUUGAUAUGAUUUCAUAUUCUUAAUACUUUACUGACUCAGACAUGCAUUUGUUGUCAAAAGCUCUGUUGAAACUGAACUCUGGUCUUCAUGACAUUAAAAAGCCACUGUAACAAAAGAACAGCCCUGUAACCACAUAAAACCUCUUUUGAACGCUUCAGCAGGGUUAGGAGGCAUUUUGGCUCCACCCACUGGUGUUCUGACUCUUCUUGCAUCAAACAAAUACUUGAACUCCAAUGUGUCGAUUUGUUGGGAUUUGGGGGACUGCCUUGCUCUCCUGAACAUGGUAGUUAAGUUAAGUUGAAUACAGGAUAUUCCCCUUGGCUGGGGGGAAUAUUCCUGAGAGCUUUCACUCUUUCAAUGCCUUUUGUUCUCUGGAAUGGAAUUGUUGCUGUAAUCAUUAUCAGCCUGAGAAACAUAAAAGUUUAGACAAACUCACAGGUGAAAAAAAUAUAAUUAUAGCUCAUUUUAAAAGAUGAUGGAGCCUGUGUACCGUCUGACUUUCUGCAAAUUUCACAUGUUUUUUCAUGUUAGGAACACGACACACUCGUCCACACUGAGGUCAGCUCAGGUAAUUAAAGUAAACAGGUGUGAUCUCACUGAGGACACUGAGAACCAGUGGGUGUGUCCUCUCACUUGAAGCUCCAGCUCAUUUAUUGAAACAAGAGAAUGCACCAACAAUGAUAAACUCUCAAUUCUGAGAAGUGUCAAUCACUCUAGUGCACAUGCUGCUGGCAAAAUGACUUUUUAUCUGUCUGCUUGAUGAUAUUACAGGCAGCUCUUAUGCCUGGUAUAUUUUAUAUCAGCUUCUAAUAAAACUUUAUCAACCUCUCACUGAGCUGCUGCUAACUUCAUUAAUGUGAUAGGAGAUGAAGAGAAGCUAAACUGCUCAGACAUUAUUAAACACCACAUGGGCCCUGUUUCUAAAUCAGUGAUUCCCAAAAUAGGAAUAGAUAAUGAAGGAAAUGGAAGCCCUGGUCUCCAUUGCAAAAAAGG
Molecule: long non-coding RNA, 3175 nt
Filed under: Sparus aurata (gilthead seabream)
Lineage: Eukaryota; Metazoa; Chordata; Actinopteri; Spariformes; Sparidae
Description: lncRNA (ENSSAUG00010016109.1)
Source: RNAcentral